CAAUGUGUUUCAAGCCAUAAUCUGGAGUCAGAGUGUUAGCGAUUCCU
Callithrix jacchus (white-tufted-ear marmoset) is the source of this 47-nucleotide non-coding RNA. NCBI's taxonomy places the organism in Eukaryota, Metazoa, Chordata, Mammalia, Primates, Cebidae. The record is from Rfam.